This 733-nucleotide ribosomal RNA is filed under the name uncultured eukaryote. RNAcentral's name for it is "SSU rRNA". It matches the Rfam family "Eukaryotic small subunit ribosomal RNA", at positions 557 to 1295 of the family's 1831-position model. The record is from RNAcentral.
UAGUCUGGUGCCAGCAGCCGCGGUAAUUCCAGCUCCAAUAGCGUAUAUUAAAGUUGUUGCAGUUAAAACGCUCGUAGUCGGAUUUCGGGGCAGGUUUGCCGGUCUGCCGAUGGGUAUGCACUGGUAGAACUGUCCUUCCUUCCGGAGACGGCGCCUACUCUUAACUGAGCGGGUGUCGGAGACGGAUCGUUUACUUUGAAAAAAUCAGAGUGUUUCAAGCAGGCAGCUCGCUUUUGCAUGGAUUAGCAUGGGAUAAUGAAAUAGGACUUUGGUGCUAUUUUGUUGGUUUCGAACACCGAAGUAAUGAUUAACAGGGACAGUCAGGGGCACUCGUAUUCCGCCGAGAGAGGUGAAAUUCUUAGACCAGCGGAAGACGAACCACUGCGAAAGCAUUUGCCAGGGAUGUUUUCACUGAUCAAGAACGAAAGUUAGGGGAUCGAAGACGAUCAGAUACCGUCGUAGUCUUAACCAUAAACCAUGCCGACUAGGGAUUGGAGGAUGUUCCUAUGUGACUCCUUCAGCACCUUUCGGGAAACUAAAGUCUUUGGGUUCCGGGGGGAGUAUGGUCGCAAGGCUGAAACUUAAAGGAAUUGACGGAAGGGCACCACCAGGAGUGGAGCCUGCGGCUUAAUUUGACUCAACACGGGGAAACUUACCAGGUCCAGACAUUGUGAGGAUUGGCAGAUUGAGAGCUCUUUCUUGAUUCGAUGGGUGGUGGUGCAUGGCCGUUCUU